RNAcentral lists this ribosomal RNA (465 nucleotides) under uncultured Klebsiella sp. RNAcentral describes it as "bacterial SSU rRNA". It matches the Rfam family "Bacterial small subunit ribosomal RNA", at positions 338 to 795 of the family's 1533-position model. Lineage: Bacteria; Pseudomonadati; Pseudomonadota; Gammaproteobacteria; Enterobacterales; Enterobacteriaceae. The record is from RNAcentral.
CCUACGGGAGGCAGCAGUGGGGAAUAUUGCACAAUGGGCGCAAGCCUGAUGCAGCCAUGCCGCGUGUGUGAAGAAGGCCUUCGGGUUGUAAAGCACUUUCAGCGGGGAGGAAGGCGGUGAGGUUAAUAACCUCAUCGAUUGACGUUACCCGCAGAAGAAGCACCGGCUAACUCCGUGCCAGCAGCCGCGGUAAUACGGAGGGUGCAAGCGUUAAUCGGAAUUACUGGGCGUAAAGCGCACGCAGGCGGUCUGUCAAGUCGGAUGUGAAAUCCCCGGGCUCAACCUGGGAACUGCAUUCGAAACUGGCAGGCUAGAGUCUUGUAGAGGGGGGUAGAAUUCCAGGUGUAGCGGUGAAAUGCGUAGAGAUCUGGAGGAAUACCGGUGGCGAAGGCGGCCCCCUGGACAAAGACUGACGCUCAGGUGCAAAAGCGUGGGGAGCAAACAGGAUUAGAUACCCUUGUAGUC